This is an RNA transcript of Eucalyptus grandis, 3293 nucleotides long. It is a transcript of the gene named transmembrane 9 superfamily member 4, with no coding region annotated. The transcript is spliced from 8 exons. NCBI's taxonomy places the organism in Eukaryota, Viridiplantae, Streptophyta, Magnoliopsida, Myrtales, Myrtaceae. The record is from RefSeq and is a predicted model, not a curated record.
GCUUUGCCGUCGCCGAUCGUCCGCCCGAGAGCCGCCGUCCGCCGUAGCGCUCCCGUCCGAACCGGGUCAAGCAUUUGGUGUUACACGUGUAAAUUUAUUGGAUGGCUGAAUCGGAGCUUGAAACUUCCCAUCUUGUACAUGUAAUGCGUGAUAUGGAAAAAGACUUUGAGUUUGCAAUUGGAAUGGUUUUUUCGAAUGAACUUGAAGCAUAUAAUAAGUAUGUCGCUUAUGCAAUUAUUAAAGGAUUUGGAGUGAGGAAGGGUAGUUUGGUUAGAAAUACUAAAGGAAAAGUAACUCGACAAACUUUCGUGUGCAAUUGUGAGGGGUAUUCAAUCAACUCAUCUGAUGAAGAAAAGGAAAAGAAAUUUGAGAGGUUUGACAUUAGAUGUGGCUGUCUUGCUCAUAUCAAGUUUAAAGUGGAUAAUAAUGACGUCUUUGAAGUGAUAGAGUAUAAUUCUGAGCAUAAUCAUGCAUUUGUUCCUGAAAAUCAAAGGCAUAUGAUUAGAUGUGGAAGAAUCAUGUCUGAGACUUGCAAGGGUGUUUUAGUUGACAUGAUGAAAGCUGGCAUUGGUGGAACAACGUCAUAUAAGUUUUUAGCAAAUGAAGCAGGAGGAAGCAAAAACUUGGGUUUUAACCUGCGUGAUUGUCAGAAUUUCUUGCAGACAACAAGAUCCAGUAUUAUAACUGGGGGAGAUUGUCAAAAACUUUUGAAUCAUUUUCAUAGCAUGGAACAACAAAACCCAAUGUUUUCCUAUGCUGUACAAGUAGAUCAAGAUGGUAGAUUAACAAAUAUAUUUUGGAGAGAUAGCUUAUCCAAAUUUGAUUAUGACUGUUUCGGUGAUGUGCUAGUAUUUGAUACCACUUAUCGCACCAACAGAUAUAAUAUGGUAUGUGCACCUUUUGUUGGGGUUAAUCACCAUUGGAAAAAUGUCUUGUUCGGCUGUGCAUUUUUAGCAGACGAGACUGCUGAGUCAUUUAUUUGGUUAUUUGAUGCGUUUUUGAAGUCUAUGGGAAAUAAAGCUCCGAAAACCAUGUUUACUGAUCAAGACCAAGCCAUGGCAAAAGCAAUUAUAAUGGUAUUUCCGAAUACACAACAUCGUUUAUGCACUUGGCACAUCAUGAAAAAUGCCAAUGAAAACAUCCCACAUCUUUACCGCGACUCAGGUUUUAGGGAUAAAUAUUUCUUAGCACUUAUGUAUAGAUGCAAAUCAGAGGAUGAAUUUGAAAGUACUUGGAAGGAAAUGGAAGAGAAGUGGAAUACUGAGGAUAACAGUUGGCUUCGGAGAUUAUAUGGUCUUAGACAUAAAUGGAGUUUAGCUUUUGGUCGUGAUAUUUUUACAUGUGGUAUAAGAUCAAGUCAAAGAAGUGAAAGCACCAAUAAUGUCUUCCAAAAACUAGCGAGGAAGACAUCGACACUUAUACAAUUUGUCCACUACUACGAAGAACAAGUAAAGCACAUGAGAGAAGUAGAAAGCCAAGAUGAUUACAGUUGUCGUGGGAUGCCUAGAUUGACGAUUCCGCACGACAUCUUGAUGCAUGCAGCUUCAGUGUAUACCCGUUCCAUUUUCACAAGGUUCAAUGAUGAAUUUUCCUUAAGCGUCUCUGAAAAUAUUGCUAGUAGUACAUUUGAUGGAUCGAUUUAUUCAUUCACUCUCAAGAGUAGGAGGUCUCAACGCGAACAUAUUGUUAAAUUUGACCAGACUCUUCAAUUUUUUGUGAAUGUAAAUUAUUUGAAUCGAAAGGGUGGUUGUGUCAUCAUGCCUUGAAAGUGUUGAGCGAGAACAUGUCGAUUAAAUGCAUUCCAGCUGCCUAUGUUUUGAAAAGAUGGACUAAGGGUGCAAAAGAGGGGAUUGUGAGUAGUGAAUUUCAGCAAAUGUCAUUGGAUUCAUCUAAGUUUAAUCGGUUUUCCAUGUUAAUGCAACAAUCUUUUGAAGUGAUGAGUUUGGGAGCUGAAGAUGACAAUACUAUGAGAAUAGUGAGCAAACAUAUGCAAAAUGCCAAGACUGAAAUUUCUUCAUACAAAUCAAAUGUGAUUGUGACUGAUGAUGCUACUAAUGAGGAUAAUGAGACUUCUGUGUGCAACAUCUCGGUAUUGGAUCCCCUUCGAAAGAAAGGAAAGGGAAUAACUUAUGGAAGACUUAAAAGUUCUAGUGAGAAAAAGAAGAAGAAAUCUAAGAAAGGAACACCUUCAAUACGAAACGAAAGUCGAGAGUUGGUUGUCCAAGCAACACAAGAUGAAACUCAAUUUCCAGAUUAUUCAAGUUAUUCAAAUCAGUUUCAUAGUGCCUUUCAUCCUAGCAAUAUCGGUGGUCCUUCAAUAAAUUCAAAUUUACAUAAUCAGAUGCAGCAAUCACCAUACAUCAUGCCGCCGGGAAUUAUGAGUGGAUUUAGCCAAUUCUCCAGUCAGAUGCGACCACCAUAUGUCAUGCCAUCAGGCAUUAUGAAUAGUUUUUCCCCAUUUAGUAAUCAGGUACUAAUUGUGAAAUCAUGUUAUAUCCUAAUGUUAUUUCAUCUUAUUAUUACUACUGUAAUAUUCAUUAUUUAUGGUUUAUCUUGGAUAGAUGUGUAAUCAUGGAACUCAUGGAACCAUUUUAAGUCAGGGAUCAUCAAAUUCUUUUAAGCAUCCUGGGGUAAAUGAAUUGAACAAUUCUGAUGGAACACAAACAAAUGCUCCCAAUUAACGGCACAUAACUCUUAUCUAUUGCAUUGCGAUGCUUCUUGUGUCUGUUGAUUCAUUUGUCCUUGUAAGAUCUUUCCUUCCCAAUGGUGGUCCAAUUUUUUCCAUGGCUGUUUACCCAUCUGAGUUCGGGAUCCAGCGCAUGAAAGAGGCAGAAAUUUAUGGCCCUGUUGGGCUCUUUGAUGAUGAGGACGAUAGGAAUGAAGAUCAUUUGGACGAGAAACAGGAGACUCUUGGUGAGAUAUUGAAUGGAGAUCGCCUAGUAACUGCUCCAUAUGAAGUAAAAUUUCUACAAGGGAAGGAUCAGGAGGUUGCGUGUGCAAAGAAGUUGACAAGUGAAGAAGUCUCUCAAAUCCAAGCUGCAAUCAAGCAGUUUUAUAUAUUUCAGAUGUACUGUGAUGACUUGCCAAUCUGGGGAUAUAAAGGAAAGGUGGAAGAAUCAUCUACAAAUAUUUCAAAGCACAAAUAUCGAAGUUUACCAGCAUUUCGAAAUUGAAAUAUUUUUCAAUAAGGAUCAAAUAAUAGAGGCUCAUUUGUUGAUGCACCCUAAUGAGGUAGUGGAGUUGGCUGAAGGCAGGAAUAUGGACAUAGAGCUACAGUACAGCGUGCAUUGGAU